RNAcentral lists this ribosomal RNA (440 nucleotides) under uncultured bacterium. Its description in RNAcentral is "bacterial SSU rRNA". It matches the Rfam family "Bacterial small subunit ribosomal RNA", at positions 338 to 795 of the family's 1533-position model. The record is from RNAcentral.
CCUACGGGUUGCAGCAGUGGGGAAUUUUCCGCAAUGGGCGAAAGCCUGAUCCAGCAAUGCCGCGUGUGUGAAGAAGGCCUUAGGGUUGUAAAGCUCUUUCACCGGUGAAGAUAAUGACGGUAACCGGAGAAGAAGCCCUGGCUAACUUCGUGCCAGCAGCCGCGGUAAUACGAAGGGGGCUAGCGUUGUUCGGAAUUACUGGGCGUAAAGCGCGCGUAGGCGGAUAGAUAAGUCAGAGGUGAAAUCCCGGGGCUCAACCCCGGAAUUGCCUUUGAUACUGUUUAUCUUGAGUGCAGAAGAGGUAAGUGGAAUUCCGAGUGUAGAGGUGAAAUUCGUAGAUAUUCAGAGGAACACCAGUGGCGAAGGCGGCUUACUGGUCUGCAACUGACGCUGGGGCGCGAAAGCGUGGGGAGCAAACAGGAUUAGAUACCCCCGUAGUC